GUGGAUUAGAUACCCUAGUAGUCCACGCCGUAAACGAUGAAUACUAGGUGUCGGGCGUCAAAACUCGGUGCCGCAGCAAACGCAUUAAGUAUUCCGCCUGGGGAGUACGCACGCAAGUGUGAAACUCAAAGGAAUUGACGGGGACCCGCACAAGCAGCGGAGCAUGUGGUUUAAUUCGAAGCAACGCGAAGAACCUUACCAGGUCUUGACAUCCCUCUGAAGUAGCCUUAGCCGGCUAUGUCCUUCGGGACAGGGGAGACAGGUGGUGCACGGUUGUCGUCAACU
Molecule: ribosomal RNA, 285 nt
Filed under: uncultured bacterium
Lineage: Bacteria
Description: partial 16S ribosomal RNA
Rfam family: Bacterial small subunit ribosomal RNA
Source: RNAcentral